GUGGGUGUAGCUCAAUGGUAGAGUUCUGGCCUUCCAAGCCAGCUGUGAGGGUUCGAUCCCCUUCACCCGCUCCA
RNAcentral lists this transfer RNA (74 nucleotides) under Clostridioides difficile. RNAcentral describes it as "tRNA-Gly". It matches the Rfam family "tRNA". From Rfam's summary of the family: Transfer RNA (tRNA) molecules are approximately 80 nucleotides in length. Lineage: Bacteria; Bacillati; Bacillota; Clostridia; Peptostreptococcales; Peptostreptococcaceae. The record is from RNAcentral.